This is a small nucleolar RNA of Humulus lupulus (European hop), 91 nucleotides long. RefSeq annotates it as small nucleolar RNA snoR109. The transcript has a single exon. The record is from RefSeq and is a predicted model, not a curated record. Lineage: Eukaryota; Viridiplantae; Streptophyta; Magnoliopsida; Rosales; Cannabaceae.
CGGCUGUAGCUAAAUUAAACCUGCUGGGGAGUUUACUGGGCGGUUGUUGUGAUCACUGUUGACUAAUCUGCUUACCGAACUUCUCACAAUU